This 301-nucleotide ribosomal RNA is filed under the name Entomoplasmatales bacterium. Its description in RNAcentral is "bacterial SSU rRNA". It matches the Rfam family "Bacterial small subunit ribosomal RNA", at positions 125 to 419 of the family's 1533-position model. Lineage: Bacteria; Bacillati; Mycoplasmatota; Mollicutes; Entomoplasmatales. The record is from RNAcentral.
CCUACCUUUUAGCGGGGGAUAACUUUUGGAAACGAAAGAUAAUACCGCAUGUUAGUAUUAUUAUCGCAUGACAAAAUAUUCAAAGAUCCGUUUGGAUCACUAAAAGAUGGGGAUGCGGCGUAUUACUUAUUAGGCGAGGUAAUGGCUCACCUAGACGAUGAUACGUAGCCGAACUGAGAGGUUGAUCGGCCACAUUGGGACUGAGAUACGGCCCAAACUCCUACGGGAGGCAGCAGUAGGGAAUUUUUCACAAUGGACGAAAGUCUGAUGAAGCAAUGCCGCGUGAGUGAUGACGGCCUUC